GGCUCCGUGGCUUAAUGUUUACGGCUUCUGCCUCAAAAGCAGAAGGCUCAGGGAUCAAAUCCCGGUCGGUACCU
Molecule: non-coding RNA, 74 nt
Organism: Culex pipiens (northern house mosquito)
Lineage: Eukaryota; Metazoa; Arthropoda; Insecta; Diptera; Culicidae
Source: Rfam